This 482-nucleotide ribosomal RNA is filed under the name uncultured bacterium. Its description in RNAcentral is "partial 16S ribosomal RNA". It matches the Rfam family "Bacterial small subunit ribosomal RNA", at positions 30 to 507 of the family's 1533-position model. The record is from RNAcentral.
AUUGAACGCUGGCGGCAUGCCUUACACAUGCAAGUCGAACGGUAACGGGCCUUCGGGUGCCGACGAGUGGCGAACGGGUGCGUAAUACAUCGGAACGUGCCCGCUCGUGGGGGAUAACGAGGCGAAAGCUUUGCUAAUACCGCAUACGAUCUACGGAUGAAAGCAGGGGACCGCAAGGCCUUGCGCGGACGGAGCGGCCGAUGGCAGAUUAGGUAGUUGGUGGGAUAAAAGCUUACCAAGCCGACGAUCUGUAGCUGGUCUGAGAGGAUGAUCAGCCACACUGGGACUGAGACACGGCCCAGACUCCUACGGGAGGCAGCAGUGGGGAAUUUUGGACAAUGGGCGCAAGCCUGAUCCAGCCAUGCCGCGUGCAGGAUGAAGGCCUUCGGGUUGUAAACUGCUUUUGUACGGAACGAAAAGCCUUCUUUUAAUACAGGAGGGUCAUGACGGUACCGUAAGAAUAAGCACCGGCUAACUACGUG